RNAcentral lists this ribozyme (75 nucleotides) under Crocodylus porosus (Australian saltwater crocodile). RNAcentral describes it as "Mammalian CPEB3 ribozyme (ENSCPRG00005000612.1)". It matches the Rfam family "Mammalian CPEB3 ribozyme". From Rfam's summary of the family: The mammalian CPEB3 ribozyme is a self cleaving RNA located in the second intron of the CPEB3 gene which belongs to a family of genes regulating messenger RNA polyadenylation. This ribozyme is highly conserved and found only in mammals. The record is from Rfam by way of RNAcentral. Lineage: Eukaryota; Metazoa; Chordata; Crocodylia; Crocodylidae.
AAUGCAGCUCAAGGCCACAGCAGAAGCACUUACGGUGCAGCCCUCUCAGAUUCCAGUGAACCUGAGAAUUCUGCU